RNAcentral lists this ribosomal RNA (207 nucleotides) under uncultured bacterium. Its description in RNAcentral is "partial 16S ribosomal RNA". It matches the Rfam family "Bacterial small subunit ribosomal RNA", at positions 568 to 774 of the family's 1533-position model. The record is from RNAcentral.
CGCGUAGGCGGUCUGCUAAGUUGGAUGUGAAAACUCUGGGCUUAACCCAGAGCCUGCAUUCAAAACUGACAGGCUAGAGUUCUGGAGGGGGAAGCGGAAUUCCUGGUGUAGCGGUGAAAUGCGUAGAUAUCAGGAGGAACACCGGUGGCGAAGGCGGCUUCCUGGACAGAAACCGACGCUGAGGCGCGAAAGCUAGGGGAGCAAACA